RNAcentral lists this ribosomal RNA (266 nucleotides) under uncultured bacterium. RNAcentral's name for it is "partial 16S ribosomal RNA". It matches the Rfam family "Bacterial small subunit ribosomal RNA", at positions 88 to 354 of the family's 1533-position model. The record is from RNAcentral.
CCGGCGACCGGCGCACGGGUGAGUAACACGUAUGGAACCUGCCCGCAGCAGGGGGAUAAGCGGAAGAAAUUCCGUCUAAUACCGCGUAACAACGUUGGGAGGCAUCUCCCGAUGUUUAAAGAUUUAUCGACUGCGGAUGGCCAUGCGGCGCAUUAGCUAGUCGGCGGGGUAACGGCCCACCGAGGCGACGAUGCGUAGGGGUUCUGAGAGGAAGGUCCCCCACACUGGUACUGAGACACGGACCAGACUCCUACGGGAGGCAGCAG